UCUUGGGAUGAAUAAGCUACAAUUUUGGCAUAUGGGCUCUGAAAAUGGAGCAGGGGAUAGGGUUUUGUUUCUUAAUAUCCCUUUAUUUUUAAGAUUGAAAUCUUCCUAAGGGAAUCCCAGUUUACAAAGAUUACAUUGAAACCAAGGUAAUUUGGGAUCAUAAAAACUGGGCCAGUUGCCUUCUUGAAGGUUUUAACAUAGAAAUAUUUUGGUGAGGAGAUGGGCUCCUUUGGAAAUUUUUGAACAGUUCAAGUCUGAUGGUCACUUGUGAGAAUCAGAAAGAGGCCUUAGCAUUUGGAUAAACUCAAAAUAUGCAUUUACUUUUCCUCUGCAGGGAUUUGAACCUUUUCUAUACCUUUAGUUAAAUAUUUUGCCUUUUCCCUUAGAUGCUGACAAAGCUCAGUUUGUGAAGAUGGUUAGUUUAAAAAUAUGUUUUGCUUUUAAAGGCAACAUAUUUAAAAUUAAUAUGAUUCCUUAUUCUGGAUCACUUUGCACACACUGCCAUCUUGCUCCUAUCCUUCUUUAUUGCUGGAUGUUUCAGGAAAUGCAACUUUGACCAGUAGAUACUCAUAAUUCUCUUACCUUGUAACUUCAUCAUAGGAUAUUCUUCUGCGUAUUGGUAGUUGAAAGCAUUUAAAUAUGUUUACAAAGGCAGCUUUCUUAUAGAAAGGUCCCUUCCCUCCUGCUUUGAGUAUAUAGAUUUUGAAUGUAAACUGUAUAAUAAAUGACAGUAUGAAGUCAAAUCAGCUGUUUAAAAUUGGUUAAGAUAAAAUAACUCAAUGCGGAAGCUUAUUUACCACAGAUUUAUUGUUGUAACAAUCUGUGCAGAUAAUCAGUACUAAAUAAACUAUGUCUUUGUGGCUCAAAA
This 868-nucleotide long non-coding RNA is filed under the name Bos taurus (domestic cattle). RNAcentral's name for it is "long non-coding RNA NONBTAT026631". Lineage: Eukaryota; Metazoa; Chordata; Mammalia; Artiodactyla; Bovidae. The record is from RNAcentral.